CCUACGGGAGGCAGCAGUGAGGAAUAUUGGUCAAUGGCCGGAAGGCUGAACCAGCCAUGCCGCGUGGAGGUCAGUGCCCUUUGGGCGUUAAACUUCUUUUGUUCGGGAGCAAUAAUGGUCACGUGUGGCCAGACGAGAGUACCGUACGAAUAACCAUCGGCUAACUCCGUGCCAGCAGCCGCGGUAAUACGGGGGAUGCAGGCGUUAUCCGGAUUUAUUGGGGUUAAAGGGGGCGUAAGCGGUGAGGUAAGUCAGCGGGGAAAUGCCCCGGCUUAACGGGGUGAAGUGCAUUUGAUACUGCCAUGCUGGAGUGCGGAUGCGGUGGGAGGAAUGUGUGGUGUAGCGGUGAAAUGCAUAGAGAUCA
Molecule: ribosomal RNA, 364 nt
Filed under: uncultured bacterium
Lineage: Bacteria
Description: partial 16S ribosomal RNA
Rfam family: Bacterial small subunit ribosomal RNA
Source: RNAcentral